AACUCGAUCUCAAAUCAAGUAAGACUACCCGCUGAACUUAAGCAUAUCAAUAAGCGGAGGAAAAGAAACUAACAAGGAUUCCCCUAGUAACGGCGAGUGAAGCGGGAUGAGCUCAAAUUUAAAAUCUGGCUGGUUUACUAGUCCGAAUUGUAGUUUAUAGAAGCGUUUUCGGUGGCAGCCUGGGUAUAAAUCCUUUGGAAUAGGGUAUCAUAGAGGGUGAGAAUCCCGUCUUUGACUCAGUGCAUGCUACUAUGUGAUACGUUUUCAAAGAGUCGAGUUGUUUGGGAAUGCAGCUCAAAAUGGGUGGUAAAUUUCAUCUAAAGCUAAAUAUUGGCGAGAGACCGAUAGCGAACAAGUACCGUGAGGGAAAGAUGAAAAGAACUUUGAAAAGAGAGUUAAACAGUGCGUGAAAUUGUUGAAAGGGAAACGUUUGACACCAGUUAUGCGGGUGGAAAAUCAGUCUUUUGCAAUGGGGAGUUGUGGGCGUUCAGACCGCAAGGCUGGCGUUUGCUUCAUCUUUGUUGUAAGUGAUGCACUUUUUCAUUUGCAGGUCAACAUCAGUUUGCUUUGCUGGACAAAACCCCAAGGGAAGGUGGCAGCUUAGGCUGUGUUAUAGCCCUGGGGCGAUACGGUGGAGUGGACUGAGGUUUCGCAGUGUGUGCUCUCGGGCAAGGCUGACUGGGUGCUAUGGGAUCGUUCGGCGUACAAUGCAUGCAUUUUGCGUCGUGUCUUUUUCAUACUCGCUCAACUCGGCUCUUCCACACUUAGGAUGUUGACUUAAUGGUUUUAAACGACCCGUCUUGAAACACGGACCAAGGAGUCUAACAUAUAUGCAAGUGUUUGGGUGGCAAACCCAUGCGCGUAAUGAAAGUGAACGUAGGUGCGAUCCGCAAGGUGCAGCAUCGACCGAUCUUGAUAUUUUUGGAUAGAUUUGAGUAAGAGCAUAUAUGCUGGGACCCGAAAAGAUGGUGAACUAUGCCUGAA
RNAcentral lists this ribosomal RNA (984 nucleotides) under uncultured zygomycete. Its description in RNAcentral is "eukaryotic LSU rRNA". It matches the Rfam family "Eukaryotic large subunit ribosomal RNA", at positions 1 to 841 of the family's 3401-position model. Lineage: Eukaryota; Fungi. The record is from RNAcentral.